Molecule: non-coding RNA, 78 nt
Organism: Podarcis lilfordi (Lilford's wall lizard)
Lineage: Eukaryota; Metazoa; Chordata; Lepidosauria; Squamata; Lacertidae
Source: the annotation of a GenBank genome assembly
CAUAUGUUGGCUUAGUCGGUAGAGCAUGAGACUCUUAAUCUCAGGGUUAUGAGUUUCAGAACCAUAUUGGGGAAAUGA